Long non-coding RNA from Dendroctonus ponderosae (mountain pine beetle), 301 nucleotides. RefSeq lists it as uncharacterized. Lineage: Eukaryota; Metazoa; Arthropoda; Insecta; Coleoptera; Curculionidae. The transcript is spliced from 2 exons. The record is from RefSeq and is a predicted model, not a curated record.
CAAAUCAUGAUUUUCAUAUUUUAUGGAAAAGCAGUCAGUAAAUUUCAACUAGUCAAAAGCGGUCAAAAGCGGCAUUUUCACAAGACACACUAAAAGUUGAUAGUACAGGAUUUUCGACAAGGUGGCACGUGCCGCACAAUGCAACCUUUUCAGUAAGUUUUUGACAUUAUACUUUGCUCCUGGUUGCCAUGUAUAGAUGUAAAGCGUUUAGUCGCAUAUAUUUUUGAAUUGUAUAUUUUAUAAUAUUGUUGCUUAUAAUAUUUAUUCGACGAGGAAGAACAUGGACUGUCUGGAUUCUGGA